This 1346-nucleotide ribosomal RNA is filed under the name uncultured bacterium. Its description in RNAcentral is "partial 16S ribosomal RNA". It matches the Rfam family "Bacterial small subunit ribosomal RNA", at positions 28 to 1381 of the family's 1533-position model. The record is from RNAcentral.
GACGAACGCUGGCGGCGUGCUUAACACGUGCAAGUCGAACGGAAAGGCCCUGCUUUUGUGGGGUGCUCGAGUGGCGAACGGGUGAGUAACACGUGAGUAACCUGCCCUUGACUUUGGGAUAACUUCAGGAAACUGGGGCUAAUACCGGAUAGGAGCUCCUGCUGCAUGGUGGGGGUUGGAAAGUUUCGGCGGUUGGGGAUGGACUCGCGGCUUAUCAGCUUGUUGGUGGGGUAGUGGCUUACCAAGGCUUUGACGGGUAGCCGGCCUGAGAGGGUGACCGGCCACAUUGGGACUGAGAUACGGCCCAGACUCCUACGGGAGGCAGCAGUGGGGAAUAUUGCACAAUGGGCGGAAGCCUGAUGCAGCAACGCCGCGUGCGGGAUGACGGCCUUCGGGUUGUAAACCGCUUUCGCCUGUGACGAAGCGUGAGUGACGGUAAUGGGUAAAGAAGCACCGGCUAACUACGUGCCAGCAGCCGCGGUGAUACGUAGGGUGCGAGCGUUGUCCGGAUUUAUUGGGCGUAAAGGGCUCGUAGGUGGUUGAUCGCGUCGGAAGUGUAAUCUUGGGGCUUAACCCUGAGCGUGCUUUCGAUACGGGUUGACUUGAGGAAGGUAGGGGAGAAUGGAAUUCCUGGUGGAGCGGUGGAAUGCGCAGAUAUCAGGAGGAACACCAGUGGCGAAGGCGGUUCUCUGGGCCUUUCCUGACGCUGAGGAGCGAAAGCGUGGGGAGCGAACAGGCUUAGAUACCCUGGUAGUCCACGCUGUAAACGGUGGGUACUAGGUGUGGGGUCCAUUCCACGGGUUCCGUGCCGUAGCUAACGCUUUAAGUACCCCGCCUGGGGAGUACGGCCGCAAGGCUAAAACUCAAAGGAAUUGACGGGGCCCCGCACAAGCGGCGGAGCAUGCGGAUUAAUUCGAUGCAACGCGUAGAACCUUACCUGGGUUUGACAAGGAUCGGGAGUGCUCAGAGAUGGGUGUGCCUCUUUUGGGGUCGGUUCACAGGUGGUGCAUGGCUGUCGUCAGCUCGUGUCGUGAGAUGUUGGGUUAAGUCCCGCAACGAGCGCAACCCUUGUUCACUGUUGCCAGCACGUUAUGGUGGGGACUCAGUGGAGACCGCCGGGGUCAACUCGGAGGAAGGUGGGGAUGACGUCAAGUCAUCAUGCCCCUUAUGUCCAGGGCUUCACGCAUGCUACAAUGGCUGGUACAGAGAGUGGCGAGCCUGUGAGGGUGAGCGAAUCUCGGAAAGCCGGUCUCAGUUCGGAUUGGGGUCUGCAACUCGACCUCAUGAAGUCGGAGUCGCUAGUAAUCGCAGAUCAGCAACGCUGCGGUGAAUACGUUCCCGGGGCU